This is a long non-coding RNA of Oncorhynchus nerka (sockeye salmon), 391 nucleotides long. RefSeq lists it as uncharacterized. Lineage: Eukaryota; Metazoa; Chordata; Actinopteri; Salmoniformes; Salmonidae. The transcript is spliced from 3 exons. The record is from RefSeq and is a predicted model, not a curated record.
GAAGAGGAUAGGAGAGCAGAAGGAGGACUGAGCAGGAGUGGGCUGUCUGGUUUCUCCUCUGUCCCCUGUAGGUCGUCAAGCGAGGCAACCUGUCCCAGGCGGAGGUGAUUGGCCGUGAUGUCCUGAAGCUCCUCCCUAAUGACCACACCAUAAUGUACUCAUUGGCUAACGUUUUGGGCAAACUACAGAAGCAUGAGUGGGGGAAGCUGGAGCUGGCGCUGGCAGAAAAGCACUAUGAACGGUCUCUGAUGCUGGACCCAGAGGCCCCGGGUAACCAGGACAACAUGCUGCAAUGCAAACUGGACCAGCUUUACAUGGCCAAACCACCCUGAGGCACUCAACUACUGACUGCAUGCCACAUACACACACAGUUCUUUGAAUCAUGCUUGAA